This 328-nucleotide unclassified non-coding RNA is filed under the name soil metagenome. RNAcentral's name for it is "partial contains 5.8S ribosomal RNA, internal transcribed spacer 2, and large subunit ribosomal RNA". The stretch from base 2 to 120 matches the Rfam family "5.8S ribosomal RNA", at positions 36 to 154 of the family's 154-position model. The record is from RNAcentral.
CAUGAAGAACGUAGCGAAAUGCGAUAAGUAAUGUGAAUUGCAGAAUUCAGUGAAUCAUCGAAUCUUUGAACGCACAUUGCGCCCCUUGGUAUUCCGAGGGGCAUGCCUGUUCGAGCGUCAUUAUAACCCCUCAAGCUCAGCUUGGUGUUGGGGCCUGCUGCACUGGCAGCCCUUAAAAUCAGUGGCGGCGCCAUCUGGCUCUAAGCGUAGUAAUUCUUCUCGCUAUGGAGUCCUGGUGGAUGCUUGCCAUCAACCCCCAAUUUUUCUAUGGUUGACCUCGGAUCAGGUAGGGAUACCCGCUGAACUUAAGCAUAUCAUAAGCGGAGGA